Molecule: unclassified non-coding RNA, 257 nt
Filed under: Basidiomycota sp.
Lineage: Eukaryota; Fungi; Basidiomycota
Description: partial contains small subunit ribosomal RNA, internal transcribed spacer 1, and 5.8S ribosomal RNA
Rfam family: Eukaryotic small subunit ribosomal RNA (bases 1-47)
Source: RNAcentral
AAAGUCGUAACAAGGUUUCCGUAGGUGAACCUGCGGAAGGAUCAUUAGUGGAUUCGUGGCCUCCCGAGGCUCACGCUCUCUAUCCUUCACACACACCUGUGCACCCUUCUGAAGCGGAGAGUUAUUAGGCGUCCGCCGAGCGCCUCCCUUCGGUCAUCACAUCAACUUCCAAACCAUGUUUACCAGAAUGUGUGCCGUCUUGUCGUAAUGACAAGCACGAUCCAAUAAAACUUUCAGCAACGGAUCUCUUGGCUCAG